CAUCGAGAAGAUCACUGACGAGUGAGUAAAUAUCUAAGUGGUUUCUAAUGUUAGUCAUGCUCAAUGCAAGUUAUUUCCUAACAACUACUUAUAUUUUUGUCUCAAUAUCUCUACACCGCAGACCUGAGACUCAUCUGCCUGAAAGGGAGGUGAUCUGUACAUCAAUCUCAAAUGGAUUGAUCACUGUCCUUAUGAUGAUCCUUCAAUCAAGAGC
RNAcentral lists this long non-coding RNA (214 nucleotides) under Elaeis guineensis (African oil palm). Its description in RNAcentral is "long non-coding RNA (EGUI_LNC057223)". Lineage: Eukaryota; Viridiplantae; Streptophyta; Magnoliopsida; Arecales; Arecaceae. The record is from RNAcentral.